Long non-coding RNA from Corticium candelabrum, 1619 nucleotides. RefSeq lists it as uncharacterized. The transcript has 9 exons. The record is from RefSeq and is a predicted model, not a curated record. Lineage: Eukaryota; Metazoa; Porifera; Homoscleromorpha; Homosclerophorida; Plakinidae.
CAUGCGCACUUAAGUCGAUCUCAAGUGACGUAGUUUUUUUGCGUCGUAGCUGUACGUAACAUAUGUUCAAGUAUCCCUCCAGUAAACCCUUCAAAUGUUGUUCUUACGUUGCGCAUGCAAGCUGGGGGCAAAAGACUUCCCACAAUAAUUGUAGAUCGAGUCUCGAUCUUUAAACCAUCUUCAACAUCGCCUCUACACUGCAAGAAGUGAUGAUCACCUUAAUUAACUACAUCAGGUUACUAUGAAGAUUUCAGACAAAUCAUCAAACAAGCAGGACGUGCUUCAUCUGGUGCGCCUGGUGGUUAGGAAGUGGAGUUUGUAAAGCCACUGAAAAAAUCUCGAGUAUCCAUCUGCUUGAUUGCUUUCAGAAAUCCUCUACAGACUCCAUGCGGUCACCUCAUGUGCAAAAGCUGCGUGGACAAAAUCACAAAUUUAAAUGUCCACUGGAUAACAAGGUGAAGAAGAGAAGUGAGGCUUUUUUGGAUAAAAUUCAUGAACGUAAAGCUCUUGGCCUUGAAGUAAAGUGCAAGAAUCAUGGAGAUGGAUGUACAUGGAUUGGGGAGUUGAGUGAUCUGCAGAUGAAGAAGAGAGAUGUUGGUGAUCAUGAAGACAAGUGCAACAAAGAGAAUAUUCGUUUGCUCCUAAAGAAAGUUGAUGAUCUCAAUGCCUGGCUUCAACGUCAACCUUCUGAAUCCUGCAAGUUCAUGUGGAGUAUAGAAAACUGGAGCAAACCCUUGAAAAUGCCAAAAUGGAAACACCAGAUUUGUUUAGCAGUGCCUUCUACACAGGUUAUCUGGGAUACAAAUUAUGCAUGUGUGUCGACCCGGAUCAGGGAGAAGGUCAUGUGGGUGUGUAUCUAAUCAUCAUGAGAGUGGCCGUUUUCGUAUUUCUAUAUACUAUCUGUCGUUGACCAGCAGCCUGAUGGAAAUGAUAUGAGCUGGCUUAUGGAUUCAACAAAGCUCAAUGGACAGGAGCUCAAGUGGUUUAUGAGAAAAACUGAUCAAAACUUGUCAGGAUGGGGGACUGGUAAUCUUAUUAGUCACUUGGAUUUGACAAAGCAGGCUUACAUCAGAGAUAACUCUCUCUCCUUGUAAGUGCAGAAAUUCUGAUAAGAAAUUCUGAUCAGAAAAUGAGACUUCAAUAUUAUUGAUAUUCUAUCAUCGGCUCACUGCAAGUGUGUAGUUCUUAAUUGUUAUACCACAAACUUGAGUGGUGCAUAGUUUUUAUGUGCUAGACUAGUCUCUUAAUUGCUACACAUGCUUUUUCAUGGGUACAGUAUAUGUCAAUAGCGUUAUUGUGUGCAGAUUGUUUCCUAGCUGUAAUGUGGAGAGUUGCUGCUGAGAUACUAACUACUACGUAUACUGACUGCGUUCAGUUUGUGCAAUAUGUUCUACUUGAUUGUCAUGUUUUGAAAAGUAUAUUCAUUGCCACAUACUCUCGUGACUGUUCUUCAGCUUGUUCAGCUUCUACAGCACAGCUGAGGAACAGCUAGCUGGCAGGCACACUUGAUCAAACUGAAAUCAAGAACGAUCAGAGCUCCAAGUCAACCUUAAGCCGCUCCCAAUCACCAGCCAUUGGUCUUGACUAUCAGUCAUCCAUAUAUCGAGCACAAACAGCAA